This is a long non-coding RNA of Sander lucioperca (pikeperch), 298 nucleotides long. RefSeq lists it as uncharacterized. The record is from RefSeq and is a predicted model, not a curated record. The transcript is spliced from 3 exons. NCBI's taxonomy places the organism in Eukaryota, Metazoa, Chordata, Actinopteri, Perciformes, Percidae.
AGGACUACUUUUUUCGCAACAGCUAGAGAAAUGAACAACGGAUUCCUGAAUUUUUGCGGGAUGUGGAUUUCGGAGAUGUCACCAAGGAGACAGAGUGCUGGAGAUGAUGGGAUUCUGUAGCUCAGGGUGGUGGACAGUGUCUCAGUGACUGUGAUCCAGAAAGAGUGAACUGGUUGACAGAGCCACAUGGCGUGCAGAUAGUCGUCUGUGCUACCUAAGGUGCAUUGUGAACAGAUACCUGUUUUUGCUAGGCCCAUUUUGAACAAAUAUCCUUUGGAAAAUGAUUGAAAACGCAUCU